AUUGAACGCUGGCGGCAGGCCUAACACAUGCAAGUCGAGCGGAUGAAGGGAGCUUGCUCCUGGAUUCAGCGGCGGACGGGUGUGUAAUGCCUAGGAAUCUGCCUGGCAGGGGGGGAUAACGUCCGGAAACGGGCGCUAAUACCGCAUACGUGCUGAGGGAGAAAGUGGGGGAUCUUUGGACCUUACGGUAUCAGAUGAGCCUAGUUCGGGUUAGCUAGUUGGUGGGGUAAAGGCCUACCAAGGCGACGAUCCGUAACUGGCCGGAGAGGAUGAUCAGUCACACUGGAACUGAGACACGGUCCAGACUCCUACGGGAGGCAGCAGUCGGGAAUAUUGGACAAUGGGCGAAAGCCUGAUCCAGCCAUGCCGCGUGUGUGAAGAAGGUCUUCGGAUUGUAAAGCACUUUAAGUUGGGAGGAAGGGCAGUAAGUUAAUACCUUGCUGUUUUGACGUUACCAACAGAAUAAGCACCGGCUAACUUCGUG
RNAcentral lists this ribosomal RNA (484 nucleotides) under uncultured bacterium. RNAcentral describes it as "partial 16S ribosomal RNA". It matches the Rfam family "Bacterial small subunit ribosomal RNA", at positions 30 to 507 of the family's 1533-position model. The record is from RNAcentral.